Molecule: long non-coding RNA, 519 nt
Organism: Bombyx mori (domestic silkworm)
Lineage: Eukaryota; Metazoa; Arthropoda; Insecta; Lepidoptera; Bombycidae
Exons: 2
Source: RefSeq, a predicted model, not a curated record
CUUAGCUUGGACGCAUACGCACACCCGAGCCAAUUCGGUAAGUUUCAGAAGUAUGCCGGAAGGAUCCGACAAUCUGCCCGACACUUGACAAAUGGCUUUUGGAACACUUGUCUGACCGGCACGGAUGCAUGCCCACAGACGUCCACUGCUGGACAUAGACGUCCCUCCAGCCUCGCCACAAAGAUCGGUCCUGCGCUGUUUGCAUCCAGCGGAUCCCCGUGAACCUCAAUAGGUUGUCAGUUCAUCUUAUGGGAGGCCUACCCACGCUACGUCUUCCGGUACGCGGUCGUCACUCAAGAACUUUCUUGACUUCAACGUCGCAAUUCUUUGGGCUAUGUCGGUUACCAAGGUUUUCCUGCGGAUCUCCUUAUUUCUGUUUUGAUCACGCAGGGAAACUCCGAGCAUAACCCUCUUCAUUGCUUAUACUUUUGUUUGCGUCAGUAAAAUUUUUUCUGACUUCGCGUAAGUAUUGCCAAUAAAUAAAAUAUUAUCAGAAAAUAAAUUACUUUUUCGAUUUAA